RNAcentral lists this long non-coding RNA (5819 nucleotides) under Homo sapiens (human). RNAcentral's name for it is "HSALNT0374652". Lineage: Eukaryota; Metazoa; Chordata; Mammalia; Primates; Hominidae. The record is from RNAcentral.
CACCGCGCCCGGCACGCGCGCCCGGCGCCUUUGCCGGCAGGUCGCGGGGCUGUGGAGCCGCGAGGGCUGACGGCGCUCGCCGCAAGUUUGCAGAGCGGCCCCCGCAGCGCAGCGGCAGCGGGCGAGGCGCCUCUGCGGAGACGCCUCUCCCGGCGAGUCGCACUGCCGCUCCGGGCUGUCCGCCCAGGCGCAGGCACGCAGACACACUCGCACACACAGGCUGGCACCGCCACAACCCGCCAGCCGGUGUGACAGGAGCCCUGCUACCCGCAGCAAAAACCUGCCCUAGGUACGGAGCAUGCGCCAAAGCCUCCCCCAGCCCCGGAGGAGUUUCCAGGGGAGGAGUCCGCUGCUCCGCGGGGCUCGGAGGAGGCAGCUGGGGGUGGGAAUCCCUUCGGCCGGGAGCAAGGAGAGAUUUGGCAGAAAGGCAAAGGUGGGGCGAGAGGAGGCCCCGAGGUAAGCGUCGCUGGCGUUGAUCUGACACCUUAAAAUGGGCAGCUUCUCUGUCUGGUAGUGGCCGGCCUUAUUUUCAGGAAUAACACCUGCACACUCCCGGGAACACUCACUAGACCAGACUUUACACGGGUUGGCAGUUCCCUUCUCAGCAGGGGAACGUGGCUCCAGACUGCUGUGAAUUUCUACCCAAGACAUUCUAACUGGUGUUCGAGUUUUAUGGUGGUCCUCCCUUAAUAACAAACUUGGUGCGUCCAACUAUACAACUGUAUUCAACCAGCAUCAAUUAACCAUUAAGCGCCUAACUGUGUAUCAGGCUCUAUGUUCAAUACACACUUUCUUUCAGCACUAGACAGUCCAGCCCUCAACCAUGCAGUACUUAGAACAUAAAAAGGAGUUUAGGGAUCACCUCCUAAAAAAAUCAUUCUACUAAUAGACGUUGAACUCCUAAAUGUUCAAGAUUUAUUCCUUCCCAACAAUGGUGGAAGAUAACACUUAAGCUUGCCUAUAUUUCAUAAGCCCUAAUUUGUAUGCAGAUGUUUUUUGGAAACUUUAUUUUUCAAACAUCUAGAUGUUGCAUUUAGUAUUACCCCAGAACUAAAUCUUUGCUCAAUAACAACUUCUGUUUUUCAGAUAGUGAAAAGAUAUACGAUCAAAUUGUUGUAACUGCCCUACCACAGUCCCUAGACCUGCUCGACCUAUUUUCCGAGUGGAGAGUGGCAAUGUGUUAAAGGCAAUGUGUGAGGACAAUGCAGUGUGAUUCCCUGGCCCAGACCAAUGUGUCCCUCCCAGCUACACUACCGUAUUCCACAGGUGUGCUAUAAUAUUUCAUAGCAGCCCACCGUCCCAUCUGGCCUUUUUAUGAAUCCAUGCACUUGUUUCUUCCUGAGACACUCUGUCGAUGUCAUCUAUUUAUCAGGGUGUCCCCUCUGCAGCCAUCAGUGAAGAUCCAGGGCUCUUUCAGGGAUGCUAAAGUUUGCCCAUAGGAUACUAUUUUCCUUGUUUAGACAGGUGGAAUUCUUCUCAAUAAAACUUCCCUCCUCUAUUUCCUUUCCCGUUUUCAACUCUUUAAACAACUCCAACCCUUGCCUUUCCUAAUAUGUAGGAGGCUAUAUCAGUAGAAAAGGUGUUGGGUGAGAUGAAUCAGCUUCUUUAAAGCUUAUUUGAUUCUAUUUCUUUUUCUCUCACUUAAGUUUGAAAUCCUAUUAAUGGCAUCACACCCCACUCCACAGCAAGAAACUGUGAUAAAACAAAAGCCCAACAAUUAUUUUCUGAAUGUGUCUGCUUAAUAUACACAUACCUCUGCUUUAGUUAAGUAAAACAUCAUUAUACCUUUUUAUAUCACCUUAUUGAAGAAGCUUCUCAUUUCCUAUAAAAUUGCUUGAUAUCACAUGGAUAAACAUCACCUUAUUAGCUACCAAAAUGGAUAACCAGAAUGCUAGUGGUAGUUUGUAUAGUGGAAAGCACUCUCCUAGCCAUUAUUUCAUUUGCUUCUCAGAACAACACUCUAAGGAGAUAAGAGAAGUAUAAUAUCCCAUUUCAGAGAUGAGGAAACUGAAGCAAGGAAAGUUAGGUGAAAGCAAAGCCAAAUUAGAAACUGCUAACAUCCCGAAAAUACAGUCACUGAAGAAGUUCAACAAACAUCAACAACAGAGCCCAUAAUUUCCUCUCUCCCCUCUUGAGACCAUUUGAGUCAAGAGGCAAGAAGAGACAACAGAAUUGCAAUAGAAUAAUUAAAUUAUGUUAUCUCUCCUCCUGACUUUAUAGGCAAAGCUGAGCAAUUCUACAUCCUGCAGUAUUUUGUCACUUAGUCUAUUAGUUUCAAGAAAGAGGGAAAAAUAACAAUAACAAUCAUAAAAUGAUUAUAUAAUUGUUAAAUCACUUAGGAGAAUUGUAAAAAUAAAAUGUACGACAAACAUGUAGCAGCUACAUUGCUAACAAAACGUGUAUUUCCAUAAAUAAGUGUACCUUUAACACUUUUCAAAGAACAUUAUCUCCGAAAAUCUCGUUUUAUUUUCAGUAAAAUAGCUACUGAAGUGACUCCAUUUCCUUGAGGUAACCACAAGGAAAACAAUGCAUAGAAUCAAGGCAAUUACACAGACAAUUCAGGCAUUUACUCAAAAAUUCAUUUUUUAAUAAUAGGUAACUUUGGUCGUGUAAAUACAGUCUGUCCCAGGUGUGGUCUCCCUAUUACAGUUGUGGAACUUGGUGUGAACCUAAUCAAAGCUCUUAAAUCACACAAUAAACAGCCUUCCUUAUCUACAAGGGCAGACCUCACAUUCAGGCAAAAAUGAAUAGAAACUUUCUAAAAUUGAACGCUCUCCAGGUAAAAAGGCAAAACAUACUUGCAUUCAGUCUACUAUAGUUACUCCACGAUGACACCAGCUGGCAAUUGUUUCUCCCUAACAUAUAGCAGCUACUAUGAUUCCCACACAAAUUAUUAAAAUAAUAAAAAUAAUGUUUUCAAAGAGCUUUCUUCCACUUCCUUUGCCGGUCUAGCAAUGAGCUUAACACUAUCUGUGAAGCAAUUUGUUCACCUAAUUUUAUGCCUUAAUAAGCUUUACUACAAUUAUUUUCUUGCCUGAUUCGUUCUCUGCCUUGACUUUAGUAUACUUCCUCCCUGUUCUUCUGCAAUAUUCUCAAACCUGUUAACAACAUCGCACUCCCCCAGGAUUCAAACUUUUGAUUAGAACAGUCCCCAUUUAAUCAAGUUCAAUUGGGAAAUAAAAUUGCAUCUCAACUUCUCCAUUUUCCCUUUGGUGCCAGAAACUGCCUUGAGAAUGUUGAAGAAACCCUGGAGAGAUUAACAAUCCAAAUGAUCACAGAGGAUAGUUUUGGAUCCCCUACAUUUGCACAGAGGAAGAGAGAUUUGAAUGCCCCUCAAUAGAGAUGAAAAUAAAACAGAUAAUGUAAGUCAUUGGCAGCAUGACUCUCUCCUACAAGAAUGGAAAGUGCUCUUAUAUACUGAAAUGACUUUUGUUUUUCAGUUUUGUAAACAAUCUUUCUCCCCACAAAAGCCCCUGGGGUAAGCAGUUUUGCAAAUAACCAGCAAAGUGACAGCUUUCUUUUUCCUCAGGAAGUUAAGCAGACAGAGCCCACAUAGUUAGAACCAAUGGCAGAAAGAAUUGGGAUAUAUACUGAUUGUGAUAUAUUCCGGUUCACUAUAUGAUUGUAACUUUGGGGCAACCAUGACCCUACAUACCACUUUCCAUAAAGUUCUAUUUAUCUGAACAGUUCAUUCUUUGCCUUACUGUGUAACAUCCACCAUAGAUAGCUGCCUAUGAGAAUGAAUGGAAACCAUCUGUAUGUAUAAUGUAUUCAUUAACUCAGUAUAGUGUAAGUAGAUGCACUAAUCUUUUCCCAAUAGAUAUUCUUUUAUUUCUUUGAUAAGGACUUGUUAAGCAUUUGCUAUGUACUGUGUACUCUUCUGAAUGCUUUAGAUAUGCUAUUAAACAAGAAUAAGGAUCCUGUCGUCAUGUAGCUUAUAGUCUAACAGUGGAAAAAUAAAUUAUAAAGAAGUAAACAAGAUUCAUUCAUUUGAUCCAAAGAUAUAUAUUGAGCCCCUGCUGUAUGCCAUGUAGUUUUACGUAUUUGGUAUGCACUGAUGAACAAUAAAGACAAUAAUUUUUACCCUCAAAAAUUUAAAUUCCGGCAGGGUAAAACAGUAGGGAAGAAGUCAGAGAGACAAUGGGAGGAAGGUUAUGUCAGGCCUUGUGGGCCAUUGUGAGAAUUUGACUCUGAGAAAUGAGGAGCCACUGCAGAACAGUUUUAAAGGGAUCCUUUCGAGUGUUUUAUUGUCAACUGUAAAAGGAAAAACACAGAAGCAGGAAAACUGGUUAAGUGGCUAUUCCAGUAAUCAUGUGAGAUUGAUGGUGGCCCAGACCAAGACAGGGUGGUUACAGAGGUGGUUGGAAGAGAUCAGAUUGCCUGCAUUUUCAAGACAGAGCCAUCAGAGAGAGUUUCCAUACAGAUUGAAUGUGGGAUAAAAGAGGAAGGGAGGAGUCAAAGAUGAUGCCAAAGUUUGGGGCCUAAACAACUGAAAGGAUGGAGUUGUCAUCAAAAGGGAUGUCAACUGAGAUCAUUACAAGUGCUAAGAGGGGACAUAGCAGGGUGAUAUGACAAAGAAUUCAUGGCAGGGUUGAGGGUAUGGGGCAGGCCUUUCCACUGGAGAGUCAGAAAAGACUGUUGUUACAUAGAGGCAAAGGGGCUAAGUCCUGAAGGAUUAGAAUGGUCUAGCCGUGCCAGACAUCCUGGAGAAGAGCUUUCUAAGCAGAACAAUAAGCACAAAGGUCUGGAGCAGAAAAGAAUUUAGGGGGCUCCAGACAGACAAAUGAUAGAGAAAUGAAAGAGAGGGAGGUUUGGGGUCAGAGCCAUGAUAGUGGGUGCAAAGUAGUCAUUGAGGAAAUGACAGGACUGAUUGAUACUAAAAGCUUACUGGGAUCCAUGAAGAAUGGAUUAGGAAAGACAAAAGAGAAAGCAGAGAAAUCAGUUAGGAAGUGGCUGUUGUUCUCCAGGCAAGAGAUGGUGGGGACUUGGGAUAGGCUGGCAAUGGUGGGGAAAAUAAUUUACAGACACAAGUCCACGGGCCUAGUAUGGAAAGAUUUCACUUCUUCAUUUUCAAAUAACAAAAUGAGACUUUGCCUUUAAGAUUCUAUUGCCUGAUACAGAGGGAAAUGAGAAGCAUUCAACUUACGUUAAUUCAGUCACUUCUGAGUUAACCUCUGUAUCUUUGGAAUAAAUAGUCAAAUUCAUGUUUCUCCCCUCCCCUUCUUCUUUGCUUUUUCCUGCAGUGAGCUAAGCCCUUUCGUACUGGCUAAGGGAAUUGUGGUCUGCAGGGGAGUUUCCUUUUCCUGCUGCUCCCCCUCACCCCCUCCAUGUGCAGUUAUUCCUACCUGAUCGCAGGUGCAAGCCUGGAUUUCUGCUGGGUCUUCUGCUGCCUUGUUAGAAUCUAAGCUGUCAUGUCCACAUGCUCUACAUCUUCCUCCACUGAACUGCGAGCCCACUUCUGUCUGCCACCUCAGCUCUUCUGUGGCCCUUUCUCAAGGGCCUGUUAGCAUGGAAACCAGUGAUGUUUAACCCCAUCAGAUGGAGCACUCAUUUUUAUUAAACAAAUGUUUUGAAGUAAUCCCUUUAAUGAUCUCAAGUUAAGCAUCAUAGAUAAUAGAAUCUACCUACACACAAUUUCUCAGAAAUUAACAUAAUGCUCUAAUUGUAAUGUAAAUGAAACAUGAAAAGAAAGUAAUUAAUAAAACACUGUGUAUUGCAACGUGUAAAUGCUGAGACCUGACUACUGUAGACAACAUAAAGAAGUUCGCAGAUGCUUAUGACUUUUAACUAUCUCAAGUUUGGACAUAGAGAAGUAAGAG